RNAcentral lists this ribosomal RNA (433 nucleotides) under uncultured bacterium. RNAcentral describes it as "partial 16S ribosomal RNA". It matches the Rfam family "Bacterial small subunit ribosomal RNA", at positions 29 to 507 of the family's 1533-position model. The record is from RNAcentral.
AACGAACGCUGGCGGCAUGCCUAACACAUGCAAGUCGAACGAGACCUUCGGGUCUAGUGGCGCACGGGUGCGUAACGCGUGGGAAUCUGCCCUUCGGUUGGGAAUAACUGAGAGAAAUUUCAGCUAAUACCUUAUAAUGUCUUCGGACCAAAGAUUUAUCGCCGAGGGAUGAGCCCGCGUAGGAUUAGGUAGUUGGUAGGGUAAUGGCCUACCAAGCCGACGAUCCUUAGCUGGUCUGAGAGGAUGAUCAGCCACACUGGGACUGAGACACGGCCCAGACUCCUACGGGAGGCAGCAGUGGGGAAUAUUGGACAAUGGGCGAAAGCCUGAUCCAGCAAUGCCGCGUGAGUGAUGAAGGCCUUAGGGUUGUAAAGCUCUUUUACCCGGGAUGAUAAUGACAGUACCGGGAGAAUAAGCUCCGGCUAACUCCGUG